RNAcentral lists this ribosomal RNA (865 nucleotides) under uncultured bacterium. RNAcentral's name for it is "bacterial SSU rRNA". It matches the Rfam family "Bacterial small subunit ribosomal RNA", at positions 60 to 884 of the family's 1533-position model. The record is from RNAcentral.
AGUCGAGCGAGUCUGCCUUGAAGAUCGGAGUGCUUGCACUCUGUGAAACAAUAUACAGGCUAGCGGCGGACGGGUGAGUAACACGUGGGUAACCUGCCCAAGAGAUCGGGAUAACACCUGGAAACAGAUGCUAAUACCGGAUAACAACAGAUGAUGCCUAUCAACUGUUUAAAAGAUGGUUCUGCUACCACUCUUGGAUGGACCUGCGGUGCAUUAGCUAGUUGGUAGGGUAACGGCCUACCAAGGCGAUGAUGCAUAGCCGAGUUGAGAGACUGAUCGGCCACAUUGGGACUGAGACACGGCCCAAACUCCUACGGGAGGCAGCAGUAGGGAAUCUUCCACAAUGGACGCAAGUCUGAUGGAGCAACGCCGCGUGAGUGAAGAAGGGUUUCGGCUCGUAAAGCUCUGUUGUUGGUGAAGAAGGACAGGGGUAGUAACUGACCUUUGUUUGACGGUAAUCAAUUAGAAAGUCACGGCUAACUACGUGCCAGCAGCCGCGGUAAUACGUAGGUGGCAAGCGUUGUCCGGAUUUAUUGGGCGUAAAGCGAGUGCAGGCGGCUCGAUAAGUCUGAUGUGAAAGCCUUCGGCUCAACCGGAGAAUUGCAUCAGAAACUGUCGAGCUUGAGUACAGAAGAGGAGAGUGGAACUCCAUGUGUAGCGGUGAAAUGCGUAGAUAUAUGGAAGAACACCGGUGGCGAAGGCGGCUCUCUGGUCUGUUACUGACGCUGAGGCUCGAAAGCAUGGGUAGCGAACAGGAUUAGAUACCCUGGUAGUCCAUGCCGUANACGAUGAGUGCUAAGUGUUGGGAGGUUUCCGCCUCUCAGUGCUGCAGCUAACGCAUUAAGCACUCCGCCUGGGGAGUACG